AUGAUUUUAAUAUUUAAUGGCCGCGGUAUUUUGACCGUGCGAAGGUAGCAUAAUCAUUAGCUCAUUUAUUGUGGGAUAGUAUGAAUGGUUUGACGAAAUAUUAUCUGUCUCAUUUUAAUAAUUUAAAAUUUAAUUUUUUAGUUAAAAAGCUUAAUUUUUUUUAAAGGACGAGAAGACCCUAUAGAUCUUUAUUUUUAUUAUUUUUAUAUUUUUUGGCUUAUUUUGUUAUAUUUAUAUUUAUUAUUUUGUUGGGGUGAUAUUAGGAUAUAUUUAACUCCUUUUAUUUUUUAUCAUUUAUUUUUGUUUUUUUGAUCUUUUAUUAUUGCUUAUAAGAAUAAGAUACCUUAGGGAUAACAGCGUAAUUCUUUUUGAGAGUUCAUAUUUACAAUAGAGUUUGCGACCUCGAUGUUGAAUUAAGAUUAUUAUUAGGUGAAGUAGCUUAAUUAUUAAGUCUGUUCGACUUUUAAUAUCUUACAUGAUCUGAGUUCAAA
RNAcentral lists this ribosomal RNA (491 nucleotides) under Cryptophyllium echidna. Its description in RNAcentral is "partial large subunit ribosomal RNA". The stretch from base 350 to 491 matches the Rfam family "Bacterial large subunit ribosomal RNA", at positions 2473 to 2615 of the family's 2925-position model. The record is from RNAcentral. Lineage: Eukaryota; Metazoa; Arthropoda; Insecta; Phasmatodea; Phylliidae.